Long non-coding RNA from Melitaea cinxia (Glanville fritillary), 253 nucleotides. RefSeq lists it as uncharacterized. NCBI's taxonomy places the organism in Eukaryota, Metazoa, Arthropoda, Insecta, Lepidoptera, Nymphalidae. The transcript is spliced from 3 exons. The record is from RefSeq and is a predicted model, not a curated record.
ACGGCUCAUGUGAUGGUAAGCGAUUACCGUGGCUUAUAGACACCAGCAACACCAGAAGCAUCGCAAGCGCGUUUUGGACCCCAUCCACAAUUCCCCCGAGGAGCUUUGAUCACCUUACUCACCAACGGGAACACAACACUGCUUGAAAGCAGUAUUAUUUAGCUGUGACCUUCUGUAAGGUCGAGGUACUUCCCCAGUCGGGCUACUCCUGAUUUUAAUCAGGAUAUUUCCUAUUGUGGUUAACUAUCAAAUU